This 170-nucleotide unclassified non-coding RNA is filed under the name uncultured Dothideomycetes. Its description in RNAcentral is "sequence contains ITS2". The record is from RNAcentral. Lineage: Eukaryota; Fungi; Ascomycota; Dothideomycetes.
ACACCCUUCAAGCCCUGCUUGGUGUUGGGCGUCUGUCCUCUAGCGACUACCGCGUGGACUCGCCUCAAAGGCAUUGGCAGCGGUCCUGCCGGGCUUCCUAAUCGCGCAGCACUGUUCGCGCUUCCUGGAAGCCCGCUCGGAUUCGACGUCCAUCAAGCCCAAUCUUCUGA